AUUGAACGCUGGCGGCGUGCCUAACACAUGCAAGUCGCACGCGAAAGGGGGCAACCCCAAGUAGAGUGGCGGACGGGUGAGUAACGCGUAGGAAUCUACCUAGUAGUGGGGGACAACCCGGCGAAAGCCGGGCUAAUACCGCAUACGACCUAAGGGUGAAAGCAGGGGAUCGCAAGACCUUGCGCUAUUAGAUGAGCCUGCGUCCGAUUAGCUAGUUGGUGAGGUAACGGCGCACCAAGGCGACGAUCGGUAACUGGUUUGAGAGAACGACCAGUCACAUUGGGACUGAGACACGGCCCAAACUCCUACGGGAGGCAGCAGUGGGGAAUAUUGGACAAUGGGGGCAGCCCUGAUCCAGCGACGCCGCGUGUGUGAAGAAGGCCUUCGGGUUGUAAAGCACUUUCGGCAGGGACAAACAAGAUGGAGCUAACAUCUCCGUUCCUGAUGGUACCUGAAGAAGAAGCACCGGCUAACUCUGUGCCAGCCGCCGCUGUAA
This 496-nucleotide ribosomal RNA is filed under the name uncultured bacterium. RNAcentral's name for it is "partial 16S ribosomal RNA". It matches the Rfam family "Bacterial small subunit ribosomal RNA", at positions 29 to 523 of the family's 1533-position model. The record is from RNAcentral.